RNAcentral lists this long non-coding RNA (1780 nucleotides) under Homo sapiens (human). RNAcentral's name for it is "HSALNT0347851". The record is from RNAcentral. Lineage: Eukaryota; Metazoa; Chordata; Mammalia; Primates; Hominidae.
CCCUCUCUCUCUCUCUCUCUCCCUCUCUCCCCCCCUCUCUCUCUUCCUCUCUCCUCUCUGUCUCUCUUUUUGCCAUCUACAUGAUCCUUGAUUAAACAUGGAACAGAGUUAAUAAAAAGGGUGGGGGGGAGACUCAAGGAGAGGAAAUGCAACUGUCAGAAAUCAGGACGGCCAGAUUUCCUGGUGAACCUGCCUCUGUCUGAGAGGGUGUCUCACCGAACGGUAGCUAAAACCUCACCAGAACCGCGCGGAAGUGAGAAGUCGCGGCCAAAGGCGCCCGCAGAAGCCUCCUCUCUGGGCCGGACCCCAGCCCGAGCGGCCGAAAGGAGCCCCCCGCCCGGAUCACAGCUGCUGCAGCUGCCGCUGAAAUUCGCUGUGGCCGCUGCCUCUUCCCGCUUUAAUCCCAGACCUCCAGUCAUUGGGCAGCUCCUCAGAGGCAAGAAGUCAACACCAUGGCAACCCGACAAGCCUAUCAAAUCACCGGCUGGCGUGACAGCAGCAACACUGCAGGCAGGAGUGGGCUGGGCGGAAGAGCAGAGUGGCCACUGCGCUCAGAAGUUUACAAGGAAAGGGGAAAUGUCUGAAAUGGAGAUUGCACAAUCCUGUCUUGAAGCAGAAGACUCAGCUAGAGCACAUCUGGAAACACCUGGCACUCCUCAAUAGAAUUCAAAUGCUAUUUUAAAAGAGUCCAUUUCUAAGAAGAUGUGGUUCGAACAUACAGAGCUACAUAAUAUGAGUAAAAUAGGACCUAACAGUAGUGUUCUCCAGCAUUGCUCUGCCUUUCCUUUUCUGGAUGUAACAACAUUACUAAGAAAGGAAGAAAAAGCAAAAAUCUGCUCUCGGGGAGAUUCCAGAAUGUUGGAAAGCCCCAAAUGGAAGUCUCUGCUUUGGUUACAGGACAUAAGGUUUAAUAAAUAAAAAGAUGCUCAUCUGGGAUGCUGCACCAAUUAUCAUGUACUAAAUAAGGUUACCUACUUCACUCUCCAGGUAGAAAUGUCUAUCAUAAGCAUGUGCCACAGAAGGUCUCUCAAGUAUCAUUAUUGGCUGUGUUGAAUUUUGUUUUUAGUUCUCUUUUAUAAGGUCUGUAGUCUUACUUUCAGUGAGGAAGUGUUUUCUCAGGUUCUCAAGAAAGUAACAAAAUGCCAGCAUUGUCAAGGUCACCAUUGCCACUGAAUUAUCUUACUGUCUGAUUAUUCCAUCUUCCUCUGCAUCAUAUUAGCCUGAUGACUACAUUCUAAUUAUUUAAAGCGUUAUGUAAAUCAAAGCAGUAAAUGUAAUUUCUAGUCUUACUAGAUAUCAUGUACAUUAGGUCGAAUAACUCUAGAAAUGUCGUCAUAAUCAUGUCAUGCCUAAUGAUGACCUACUCAGCCCCUGCCAACAUCAUUCAAUUACUCAUUUCAGUAUUGAUUUUUCUCAUGCCUCUCUUCGUGGCAUUUAAACAGCCCUCACAUCUCCCCUUUUACUGAGGUGUAAUGUUGUAUAAUGACAGAGAUGCUUUGCUUCCCAGAUUCAUAAUGUUACACUCUGUUUCAAAUCCUUUUGGAGACAAAUUGGGGAAUCAAUAUAUAAAUAAUGACACACUUAUUUUUAAUUAAAAUCACUGCUUUCACAGAAAUGGUAUAUUAAAAUUAUUUUUGCUAAAAAAAUUUUAAAUACCUAUGUACGAUAAAAAGACUGCCAAUCCUUGGGAUCAAGAAUAUAAUUUGCCCCAAAUAACUUUUCUGUAAAAGUAGAAUUCUUAAUGGAAAAUAGAUUAAUACAUAUAAUUUCAAGAUCUAAC